RNAcentral lists this ribosomal RNA (253 nucleotides) under uncultured bacterium. RNAcentral's name for it is "partial 16S ribosomal RNA". It matches the Rfam family "Bacterial small subunit ribosomal RNA", at positions 524 to 776 of the family's 1533-position model. The record is from RNAcentral.
UACAGAGGUCCCGAGCGUUGUUCGGAUUUAUUGGGCGUAAAGGGUGCGUAGGCGGCGGAGUAAGUUGGGUGUGAAAUCCCGAGGCUUAACCUCGGAAUGGCAUUCAAUACUGCUUCGCUUGAGUACUGGAGAGGAGGCUGGAAUUUACGGUGUAGCAGUGAAAUGCGUAGAUAUCGUAAGGAAGGCCGGUGGCGAAAGCGAGCCUCUGGACAGUUACUGACGCUGAUGCACGAAGGCCAGGGGAGCAAACGGG